UGUAACUUUGUCGGUUACAUCGCAACCGUAUUGCUUGCCCGGGGUUCAACGACUGCAUUUUCAAGUCACUGACGUAUAUGCGAUUACGCAGGCAUAGUCCGAUUCACCUUUAAAUCACCGUGAAGAGCUUUUGAGCCUAGAUGGGUAUGAACACGAUUUUUGUUUUAUUUGCAUGGAAUUUGCUGUGGGUUUUGGAUUUUCUAAUCGAGGGGAUUGAGCGCAAUUGAAGAUGAAGACUGGUCCUACUAUAAGCAAAUGUAAAAUGCAAUGACCUGAAUUUAAUAUUUUGAUAUUUAUAAUUUGAAGAACUUAAUGUUACUAAGCCCAAGAAAACUUGAGUAGCGGAGAAACCUAAAUAACCGAUAAAAGAAGAAACGUAAAACCAAACAACAAAGGAAAUGUCCGGUGCCAAAUUGAACGCUGUAAAAUUUGUACUACUAAUAGAAAAUGAUGAUGAAUAAAUGCUGAAUUAUGUGUUGAA
Molecule: long non-coding RNA, 481 nt
Organism: Drosophila willistoni
Lineage: Eukaryota; Metazoa; Arthropoda; Insecta; Diptera; Drosophilidae
Exons: 2
Source: RefSeq, a predicted model, not a curated record